This is a long non-coding RNA of Chrysemys picta bellii (western painted turtle), 1252 nucleotides long. RefSeq lists it as uncharacterized. NCBI's taxonomy places the organism in Eukaryota, Metazoa, Chordata, Testudines, Emydidae. The record is from RefSeq and is a predicted model, not a curated record.
AUGACAGCCUGUCUUUGCUGCACUGCAGAGGCGCCAUCUUCUCGCUCUUAAUCUCCGCUCGCCCCAACCCUGCCGGCACCGGGCCCUAUACCCGCCCGGCCGAGAGAAACCCCCCACAGCCCGGCUCCACACGCGCGGGUCCAGCGCCUUCCCCUUGCAAAGCCGGGAGAAGGCGUCUCCUCCCCGCCCACCCCCCAGCGGAUGUCCCUUGCUCCCAGCCCACCUGAGCAGAGCCCGGGGGCAUGAAACCUCCCUGUUCCUCGCCAGGAGCAGGCGGAGGAUCCAGGCGGGAGUUAUUUUUAAGGACGGCAAACUGCCUUUCUGUUGCAAUGUGGGAGACACCUAGCUCUGCCUCCCUCGCAUCACCCGUCUGGUGAGAUUGCUGCCAGACCCGCUGCUUGUGCCACAGCCAGAGGUGCACAACACAUCAUUGUAACGAAAUUAAAUCCAAAUAAAAGACACACUUUGCUAGCUGCUCAUGUCGGAGGGGCAGUUCUUUAUGUCCUAGAGCCCAUCUCCUAGGAUGUAGAGUUCAGACAUUAAACUGAUGCUGGAUUUGUAUUAAUGCUUUGUAACUAGAACAUGUUUUUACUUGCUCUGGGACCACUGAUAUCUUCUUUGCUCCGAAAGCUAGUGUAAUUCUCUGCCUGCAGCAGUUUUUGCUGAUAUCUUUUACAGAAUGUCCAUAUGCCUAUGGGUACUUUGUUGACUGAUCAGUCAUCCCUGUUUUAAAUAUAUAUAAAAUGUGCAGAGAUAACCCCCAAAAUGUUUGUGAAGUCUCCACGAACACACAUUCACAAGUUAACUGCAGGUUAUUUGGAGAAAUUUUGCUCUUCAUUCAUUUUUUUUACAAACUGGCUCGUUGUCAUAUUAAACUAGUCUCUUCAAAUAUUGAUAAGUUAUACCAUGAUCUAACAACCUUAUCAGGGUGCUAGAUCCUGUAGGUAAGCACAGGUUCAAUUCCCUAGACCCCAGUCCUACAAACACACAAGAACAAGGCCAAAAUUCUACAACUGAUACCUUGUAGGUGGACAGCUGUACCCAUAAGGGGGCAUCAUUGCUUACUACUAAUUGCAGCAUCUGUGCUUGAAUUUAUAGGAUGACUCACAUGAGUAAAGCUAGGCACAGGUGUAAGUGCUUGCAGGAUUGGGGCCCAAGACCCAUAUAUGAUGAAAAAGUAUUUUCUUGCUGCCUCAACAGAAUUAAUAUUGUAUAAUACAAUGUGUAUAAUAAAUCUGCAAGGAAGCCUAAA